Non-coding RNA from Claviceps pazoutovae, 107 nucleotides. Lineage: Eukaryota; Fungi; Ascomycota; Sordariomycetes; Hypocreales; Clavicipitaceae. The record is from the annotation of a GenBank genome assembly.
GGCCGUGUGGCUCAAUGGCAGAGCGUCUGACUACGAUGGCCGUGUCGGUCUAACCACAUGAGACAUAUGGUAUCAGAAGGUCGCAGGUUCGACCCCUGUCUCGGUCA